GGAUAGCUCAGUUGGUUAGAGCAUGGUGCUACUAAUACCAAGGUUGCAAGUUUGAUCCCCGUAUUGGACA
This is a non-coding RNA of Podarcis lilfordi (Lilford's wall lizard), 70 nucleotides long. Lineage: Eukaryota; Metazoa; Chordata; Lepidosauria; Squamata; Lacertidae. The record is from the annotation of a GenBank genome assembly.